UCCGCUGAAAUUUGAACCCUCAACCCACUGCGCGUCGCGGUGGUUUGCUAAAUCGAUUUACUUUCAAAUUGAAACCUAAACCCUUAAACCAAUUUACUUCAAAAUCGGAGCAGCCAAAACGAAGAAGGGGGAGGGAAGGGGGCGUUUUACGGGGCGGAGGAAGGGAUGGAGAGGGAUUUUGGGGGCAAGGAAGGAAGUUUUCAGAAAUUGGUGGUUAUUGAUGAGAUGGGGAGCUAGGCGGUGGUGUUUAGUGGCGACUGGUUGCAUUGGAAAUUUGGGGGUGGUGGUUCAAGGGAAAACGGGGACGCGGCAGUCCGGCGAGGUAUGGUUGGGUUGGGCAGUGGUGGUGAAGGCUAGCUGGUUUUUCUGUUUUUUUUUUUUUAAAAAAAAAUUUGGUCCAGUAAAAAAAAAUAAAAUUGGACCACUCACGUGACGACACGUGUCCAGCAACCUACAAUAGAAGGUUGUUGACUUUUGUUGACCGGUUUAGGUAUGAAGAAUGAUAACCCACCUUAAAGUUGGGAUUAUUGAGGAAUAAUCCAAAGUUGGGAUUAAUAAAAAUAAAUUGGUCAAAGUUGGGAUUAAAAAAUGGUAUUAAUCCUUUUAUUAACUAAGAAUAAGUCGACUUUUACAAGGUAUUAACUUUAAAUAGGUCAAAUGACCUUCAACCUGUCCAACAAGUCACUUCCUUUUUUUUUUUUUUUUUUUUUUUUUUUUUUUUUUUUUUAAAUAUUUUUCUUUUAUUCUUUUUAGGGAAAAAUCCUCCUCCACCCCUAAGAACUACCACCUGCCAAUCUGCCAUCCACCACCACCAAGUCACUUAGCCAUCCAACCACCAUUUGUCAACCAUGAAAUGUAGCAGUCAUCCACCAUUAAAACAUGGAGAUCACUGAAUCACCCGAUUGUCGUUCUCCAUCGAAGCGCAUUGUUCUCCAUUGAGCCACCUUCUGAUAAUAUUUAUUCUCCAUUGACAAACUUCUAACUAAGAACCCUUUUAAUAUUAGGAUUGAAGUACUAAAAAGCUCUUCUCCCGAGGCUCAGGGACGGGCAUAGAUUUGCUGUUGUUGACCCUAACCAAAAUCGCCACCGCCAUUUCCAUCGAGCCAUCACCAGUGAACUGACCAACAAUUGCAAGUCCAUCAUCGUUGUGGCUGCUGCCACAACCUAUGUCACCAUUUCUGACCUUCUUUUGGGUGAGGGUUUAUGAGUUGGGUUGCAGUGGUAAAGUAGUGCCUCCUUUGUUAAUGGCAGAUUUAUGGAGGAGAGAGAAAAGGGUGCUAAGGGGGAAGAAAAAGAAUGGUGCGAUGGAAGUUGGACAUAGAUUUUUUUUUUUUUUUUUUUGAACGAGGACGGAAUUUUUUUAAUUUUAAA
Molecule: long non-coding RNA, 1371 nt
Organism: Chenopodium quinoa (quinoa)
Lineage: Eukaryota; Viridiplantae; Streptophyta; Magnoliopsida; Caryophyllales; Amaranthaceae
Exons: 2
Source: RefSeq, a predicted model, not a curated record